Molecule: long non-coding RNA, 495 nt
Organism: Mytilus californianus (California mussel)
Lineage: Eukaryota; Metazoa; Mollusca; Bivalvia; Mytilida; Mytilidae
Exons: 3
Source: RefSeq, a predicted model, not a curated record
GGGCAUUACUUAUACAUCGAGUCAUCAAGUCCGAGAACGAAAGAUGACAAAGCUGAACUAGAAUCAACCACUUUGACAGGUGGCAUUCAAUACUGUAUAACAUUUUAUUAUAAUAUGUUAGGCGCAACAAUGGGAGCUCUUAAUAUAUAUAAGGAGGUUGUGCCUUCGGGUAAACGAGCCUACCUGCCACCACAGUCUAGUUUAACUUCGGGAAUAGCAGCACAGAGUGGCGUCAGAUCUUCCACAAGAACUCUUCUCUUUACAAUCCGAGAUGACCAUGGGGCGACGUGGCAUAAACAGCAAGUCAAUAUACCAGUUUCUAAUUCAGACUUCAAGAUCAUUUUAUCUGGUGUUGUUGGUACAAGCUUUUACAGUGAUUUAGCCAUUGAUGACGUCAGUAUUACAACCGGAACGUGUUAAAAGACUUGCAUUACUGAUAAGCGAAACAAAAUACGAAACGUUGUCAAUAAUGUAAAAUACUUUUAAUAAAUAAUU